AUUUAAAUAGUUUAAUAAAAAUAUUGAUUUGUGGUAUCAAAAAUAUGAAUAAAAUUCAUUUUAAAUU
Molecule: transfer RNA, 67 nt
Filed under: Nyctemera adversata
Lineage: Eukaryota; Metazoa; Arthropoda; Insecta; Lepidoptera; Erebidae
Description: tRNA-His
Source: RNAcentral